This is a long non-coding RNA of Heteronotia binoei (common prickly gecko), 271 nucleotides long. RefSeq lists it as uncharacterized. Lineage: Eukaryota; Metazoa; Chordata; Lepidosauria; Squamata; Gekkonidae. The record is from RefSeq and is a predicted model, not a curated record. The transcript has 2 exons.
GCACUGAUACAAUGUUUAACCAGCAGAGAGGGCUGGGGGUGAGGAAAUAUAAAAUCCUGUGAUCAUUAUGAAAUAACAAUUAAGAGCUCAAGAGCUGUACAUCUGUGCUUGCCUCUAUGGGUAGGAUGUGUGAACCAGCAGGUAUCCGAUGGCUCAAGACAAUUAAAUUGUGUUUGGAACAUGGUAAAUAUUUACAUUUCAGGACUCUCUUAAAGAGAUGUAAUGAUUUAAAAUCCAACUUUCCUCCUUUGGGGCAAAUUGUCUACACAGG